Molecule: ribosomal RNA, 253 nt
Filed under: uncultured bacterium
Lineage: Bacteria
Description: partial 16S ribosomal RNA
Rfam family: Bacterial small subunit ribosomal RNA
Source: RNAcentral
GACGAACCGAGCGAACGUUAUUCGGAAUCACUGGGCUUAAAGGGUGCGUAGGCGGGCCCGUCAGUCAGGGGUGAAAUCCCACGGCCCAACCGUGGAAGUGCCUCUGAUACUGCGGGCCUGGAGGGGGAUAGGGGCGUGCGGAACUUCCGGUGGAGCGGUGAGAUGCGUAGAUAUCGGAAGGAACACCGGUGGCGAAAGCGGCGCGCUGGAUCCCUACUGACGCUGAGGCACGAAAGCCAGGGGAGCAAACGGG